This 27-nucleotide non-coding RNA is filed under the name Cricetulus griseus (Chinese hamster). Lineage: Eukaryota; Metazoa; Chordata; Mammalia; Rodentia; Cricetidae. RNAcentral also lists the same sequence under 1 other name. The record is from RNAcentral.
UCCACUCCCACUGCUUCACUUGACCAG